UACGAAGGGUGCAAGCGUUACUCGGAAUUACUGGGCGUAAAGCGUGCGUAGGUGGUGAGUUAAGUCUGUCGUGAAAGCCCCGGGCUCAACCUGGGAAUGGCGAUGGAUACUGGCUCGCUAGAGUGCGGUAGAGGAGAGUGGAAUUCCCGGAGUAGCAGUGAAAUGCGUAGAGAUCGGGAGGAACAUCAGUUGCGAAGGCGGCUCUCUGGACCAGCACUGACACUGAGGCACGAAAGCGUGGGGAGCAAACAGG
This 253-nucleotide ribosomal RNA is filed under the name uncultured bacterium. RNAcentral's name for it is "partial 16S ribosomal RNA". It matches the Rfam family "Bacterial small subunit ribosomal RNA", at positions 524 to 776 of the family's 1533-position model. The record is from RNAcentral.